AGAAUCAACGCUGGCGGCGUGCCUAACACAUGCAAGUCACACGAGAAAGGGUAGCAAUACCUGAGUAAAGUGGCGCACGGGUGAGUAACACGUGAAUCAUCUACCUCCGAGUGGGGAAUAACCUAGAGAAAUCUGGGCUAAUACCGCAUAACACUUACGAGUCAAAGCAGCAAUGCGCUUGGAGAGGAGUUCGCGGCCGAUUAGUUAGUUGGCGGGGUAAUGGCCCACCAAGACGAUGAUCGGUA
This 245-nucleotide ribosomal RNA is filed under the name uncultured bacterium. RNAcentral's name for it is "partial small subunit ribosomal RNA". It matches the Rfam family "Bacterial small subunit ribosomal RNA", at positions 26 to 285 of the family's 1533-position model. The record is from RNAcentral.